CCCAAAGAAGCCGACAGACCUGAGCGCUUACAUACCAUGUUAACAAAGAAUGAUAAAUUGUAGAGCUGUGACAAGACAAGGCAAAGGGUCUUGGGCUAUGCACAGUGAACUGUGGGAAAAUGACCAGGAAAUAUAUGGUGAAAAUUAAUGGAAGAUAAGACUUAUUUUAGUGUUUGUACAGAUUCAUCUCAGUUUCCAUGCCUCACUUCUGUUGAUAAGAAUGUUCUCAAAAAGUAAAGGAAACCAAGAUCUGCGCAGGGGUUUCCUCUGCCCAUUCCUCCCACCUCACCCUUCAAACCUAAACUUGAGCCUGUUGCUCACUGGGCUAGCAUUGCUCUCACCAUGGCUCUCAGCAAUGCUGAUGUGCAAAAGCAGAUAAAGCAUAUGAUGGCUUUCGUUGAACAAGAAGCCAAUGAGAAAGCAGAAGGAAUAGAUGCAAAGGCAGAAGAAGAGUUCAACAUAGAGAAAGGUUGGCUUGUGCAAACCCAAAGGCUAAAGAUUAUGGAAUAUUAUGAGAAGAAAGAGAAACAGAUUGAGCAGCAUAAGAAAAUUCAGAUGUCCAAUUUGAUGAAUCAAGCAAGACUCAAAGUCCUCAGAGCGAGAUGACCUUAUCACAGGUUUGUACCAGUUGCUGGAGCCCUGAAUGAUUGAUUGUUGCAGGAAACAAGAUUUCCCUCUGGUAAAGGCUGCGAUGGAAAAGGUAAUCCUUAUGUACAAAAUUGCCACCAAAAAAGAUGUUGAUGUCCAAAUUGACCAGGAGUCCUGCCUGCUGGAGGACAUAGCUGGUGCAGUUGACAUAUAUAAUGGGGAUCGUAAAAUAAAGGUUUCCAAUACCCUGGAAAGCUGGCUGGAUCUCAUAGUCCAGCAGAUGAUGCCAGAAGUCAGGGGGGCUUGUUCAGGGCAAAUGCCAACAGGAAGUUUUUGGACUAAGCCUUUGGGAGGUGGAGCUCGUCCUUAGCUCUCCUGCUGUGAUGUGGAAGCUUCUGAUAUUUGAAGAAACACAAAUGUCUCUGUAGCUUCCCCUUUACUGCCCCAGUGUUGCUCUGUAUUUAUCAGUGAUGCCCCUCUGUCACCAAUGCCUUGCCUAAUUGUUCACAGUGGUGGAAAGCUUCAUGUAAUAUGAUCAGGACUCACCUCCAGUUCAUCCAA
Cercocebus atys (sooty mangabey) is the source of this 1149-nucleotide RNA transcript. It is a transcript of the gene named V-type proton ATPase subunit E 1 pseudogene, with no coding region annotated. NCBI's taxonomy places the organism in Eukaryota, Metazoa, Chordata, Mammalia, Primates, Cercopithecidae. The transcript has a single exon. The record is from RefSeq and is a predicted model, not a curated record.